CAGUAGCCGCGGGAAUACGUAGGUGGCAAGCGUUGUCCGGAAUUAUGGGGCGUAAAGGGCUCGCAGGCGGUUUCUUAAGUCUGAUGUGAAAGCCCCCGGCUCAACCGGGGAGGGUCAUUGGAAACUGGGAAACUUGAGUGCAGAAGAGGAGAGUGGAAUUCCACGUGUAGCGGUGAAAUGCGUAGAGAUGUGGAGGAACACCAGUGGCGAAGGCGACUCUCUGGUCUGUAACUGACGCUGAGGAGCGAAAGCGUGGGGAGCGAACAGGAUUAGAGACCCCUGUAGUCCCUGUCUCUUAUAC
This 301-nucleotide ribosomal RNA is filed under the name uncultured bacterium. RNAcentral's name for it is "partial 16S ribosomal RNA". It matches the Rfam family "Bacterial small subunit ribosomal RNA", at positions 509 to 807 of the family's 1533-position model. The record is from RNAcentral.